Vitis riparia (riverbank grape) is the source of this 2858-nucleotide long non-coding RNA. RefSeq lists it as uncharacterized. The record is from RefSeq and is a predicted model, not a curated record. NCBI's taxonomy places the organism in Eukaryota, Viridiplantae, Streptophyta, Magnoliopsida, Vitales, Vitaceae. The transcript has 7 exons.
AGCAGAGCAGAGUAGAGCAGGUUAUUGAGAGUUUCAGAGGUGCGUUUCGCUUCUCUUCAAUCUUAGCAGUUCUCUAUCGCUUACUUUCUCUCUCGUCGUUUCCGCAUUUUCUCUCUGGAAGGCUGAGACCUUUGUUGUUCAAUCUCUGUUCUCAAUUCUCGGUUUCUCAGGAGAAGGGAGGACGAUAGGAGGAAAAAAGUGCAGGAUUUGGUGCACUGAAGCGGUCAGUUCUGUAGGUUUCUAUUGCAGCAGAGACUGAGUUGAACCUCUGUGGAAAAAGGGGAAAGAGAGAAGAGGAAGGCAAAGCAAAAAAGGGAAAAGGCCAGCGAAAAAAGAUUGGAUGAAAAGAGCAAAAGAUCAGACAAAGAAAAGAAACAACGGAAAAGGCACCAAAGUGCUGUGGAUGAUCCAAGUUGGGACAGAAAAGGGAAACAUAAGUCUAAGAAUUCCAGUAAAAGUAGCAGUGACUUCAAAAGGUCAAGACAGAUGGAGGAAAUGUAACUUUUGGGCUCUCCUGUCGUGAAUCAAUAAUGAAAGGAAGCACAAGAAACACAAGAGAGAGCUUCAGAGUGGUUCUUGGAGAAAUAGUGACAAUUAAGAGCUUCAGAUUGAGAACUUGCUUUUUGAUUGUCCAGCAUGGUGUAUUUCUCGUAUCACUUUUUACCUGGAGAAAUAGCAUGAUAGCCCCCACAAUCACAGGCUGAAAGUGUCCCAUAGCAGACAAGGGUAUUUUCAUGGUGAAGAGGCAUAUUGUCAAAAAGCAAGAGACUGCUUAUUGUUGGCAAGAGAAAAUGAAUACAGUCCGUCGUUCUGAUUGUUAGAAUUUGAAGGCCUGGCUGGCUGUGUCUAAAAUUUACCAAGCCAUGAAGAUUGGAAGAAGUCAAUGGAGGUUUGAUGGGGAGGCUGGCUUUUAAAACACCGUCUUCAAGUUCGACUGCGUCAAAUGCUAGAGAGGGGAAAAUUGAUCUGCUACAAGAAAAAGUUGAUAAUGUCUGUGACAAUAUGAUCCAUGAUAGCAUCAGCUAUCUCUAUCCCAAUCUCUAUGGUCAGUGGCUGGGAAUCACUCCAUUCUUGUUUUGUGGUAGAAGAGUCUGAAUUUAUCAGUUUGGUUAUGCUUGUAACAUGUCCACAUUGCUUCCCCCAGUAGCAGAUAUGCUCACAAAUAUUUUUAGAAGGCUCUUCGUCCCCUGGGAAUUCUUCGUUCUUCUGCACAUUACUCUUCUUUCCAUGGAUUUCUAUGGCUUCCUUUUCACAGUCGAAUGAAACCUGCUUGGUGUGCUGCAUGAUUCUUUUAGUUUUUAGGCACUGAGAAGAACCUGCAAACCCAAAUAUCUCCUCUAGUUUUGCAAUGCCAGGAUGACUCUGGAUUAGUAAUUCCCAUGGAAAAGCUGAGGCUGUGGAGUUUUCUGUGGUUCUUUUCUGCAAAUUAAAGCUGGAAGUUGAAAGGAUUUCUUCUUGUCUUGCAAUGAAGAAGUGUUGGGCUGUUUCAUCAAAAAAGGGGAUUGUCACUGAGAUAUUCUUGGAAAUCAAGAAAUGCACAUUUAUUCAAUUUUAUAAACUCCAGAACCUUGGUUUGAUGGUAAUGUUUCUAGCACCGAUACUGGGCUGAGUUGCCUGUCAUCCAUGAAUGACCACUGAAGGUUUGUAUCUGUAGCAGCCUGUUCUCUUCAUGAAUAACUGAGCUUAAUAUAUGGAUGAGAAAAGAAAAUUGAAAUGCAAAGAAAAUGAGAAGAAAAUAAAAGGGUGAAUUUUGUUUUUAUCCACUAGAAUGAAAUUUGGAACCUGUGCCUUUGUCAUCUUCGUAUGUAGUGCAUUAUCAGAGGGAAAAUGAUGGAAGUUCUCUUACCUCUGGUCCUCCCAUAUCAAAAGGUUCAAAGGUCUGGAAAGUACUUGUCGAAGAACUUGAGCCACGAUUUUCUUUGAAAAACAGGUGAUUGUGCAUGAUAUUGAUCUUGGGAGAGGAGUUGUCUGGAGUCAUAUCUUUCCGGAUCUCAGAAACAUUAUAAGUUGAAAUUUUCCAGCAUUCAUUGUUGGAAACAAGCUUGGUAAGAACUGAUCUCAGGACUCUUGAACCAUUUGCUAUCCUUUCUCUUUUAGUGCUCAAUUCAGAACCAAAUGUCGAUCUCUUCAAGUUCUUAGCUGAAUUAUUGGGGCUGCAACCAUUUCUCGUAUCCGAAUUCAAGCUGCUCCUUGUGUACCUUCUCUCUGAAAGGUAAGUUGUCAGCAUAAAAGGCUCUUGUUGUUCUUGGAGAAGUUCUUUUAGCUGCUUUGCUGGUCUAGAUGAUGAAGCCAUUAGGUCUGCAAAAGUUUAGGGGUUUAGAGUGGAAGAGAAUGAAAAUGUAAGGUGCAAGUUAAGCACUAGGCUGAAGUGGAGAUGAGGUGCCGGAGCAAUAAUUGUAACUGUAUCGAGCAUGUCUGUCAGAUUGAGCUGAGAGGGAGGAGAAGCCAAUAGAGAAGACUGAAGAAUUAAGAGAAAGUGAGAGAGAGAGGCCAAAAUUUUCAUUUAUUGCAAGAUUGCCUGGAUCCUGAUGUGCACAAAAAAAAUAUUCAUUAGAAUAUUGCAUAGAUUCUAAUGUGCCUAAAACAGCCUUAUCAUUAGUAACCAGAUUACAUCCUGAAAGAAGUGGUCCCAAGCCCUCCAGUUUUGUCUUGUAUUGAAGAGUAACUUCAGUUGUCUUCUAUUGAGUGGAGGCAAAUUGAAUGUCAUGUAUCUGCAUGGAUGUUGGCUUUAUUGUACCCUUGUGAAUUCUUCUAUAUGUAUAUGAUUUUUUUUUUUUUUUUGAGAAGUAUGCAUGUGAUCAAAUAUUUUAUUUCCAAACUACAAGCAUCUAUAUGGGUAUGUAUUAUUUGACCCUAAA